AAAACGUCUAAGGAAUUAUUGGAAUUUUCUUCCUGAAGGUUUUGCAAAUUUUCAGAAAUUUGAUGAAUUUUUUUCCUGAAUUUUUGGAUUUUUUUCAGACAAGGAAACAAUAUUUUUUGGUGCCCGUAAAUGAGGACAACAGGAGCGUUAAACCUGUUGCAUUAGCUUCAUCUUUGCUGUUUUUUUUCUCUCUGUCUUUUCUUGAAACAGAUGCAUCAUUUGUCUGGAACACCACAAGCAUUUUGGAUGAACCAUGAACCUGGGGACAAACCUGACUUUCAACUCUGCUGACACAAACUUGCCGCAGCUGGUAAAGUUUCUGCUCGAGCUGGUUUCUGACUGUCUGUCACAGAGCACAUGACAGGAAAGACGUCGGUCCUAUUUUUGAUAUCAUAACUGUUAGAAGAUGUUUCUGCUGCAACCUCGACGGCCUUUGUGAUGACCCAGAAGGACUCAGACAGACUGACUUGUGAGAACAGCCAUCUGUGAAUUUCUCCUCUUUUUUUUCCCCCCUCCUUGUAGAUGGAAAUAUCCCUGAAAUACUAAGCAGGAGUGUUUGUGAGGUUGCAGCUUCUUUUUAAUGCUGCUUUAAUCACUAUUAUAUUCUUUAUUAUUACUUGUAUUAUGUCUGGAGUUUGAAAUUUGACAAAGUAUUUCAUAAUAUUGAAGCAUUUUGACUUUUAAGCAUGCAUACUUCCACCAGUUUGCUGCUGAGGUGUACUGCUCACCUUAUUUUAAAUAUCUUGUCCUAAAUAGUUCUUUUUAAACAAAUUUACAGCAGUAUGUGCUGAGUGUUGUUUUGUUUGUUUUUUUUUUAGCUUUAGGACACUUGUGUAACUGUGGAUUAAACCAGUAAUAUUUACAUCAAGGGAGAAUUUACGUUCUAUUAUCGCAGUAACCUGAAGCAGCUAAACUCAUCUGAAAACAUGCUCGCUCAAAAGUGAAAAUGUUUAUUCUACUUAAUCAACUUGAAGUGAUGAGGAUGAGCCAUUUUUCUGUUUUUAGUCUGUCAAAGUCUCUACAAGGCAUGACUCGUGUGGACGCAGGUCUUCCAUUUGCCGUUUUCUCCGGGAGUUCUGUGUGGGAGAACGAUGUUGGAAUGACCAAAGGAAGCUCGCAGUGCAUAUUUGUGUUUGACUACAUAACGUGUGUUGCUUUAAAAUUCAAGAGACGCCGAUUUCUUGUCAUCAAAUAACUUCCUCUCCCACGUGGUUUGAAAAUCUCUGGCACAGUAAUUCAGAUUUAACUUUGUAUUUUUCUUUUUCUUACAGUAACCUAUUUAUUAAAGACUAAUGACAUGGGUAGCCAGUUUUAAACUUUUAAUUUUAUACUAGUUUUUGCUUUUUUGUGAGUUUUCAGGACCGAUAUGUUGCGUUUUUGUUUUUUUUUUUUUUUGAAGCUGAAAAUUUAACAGAGCCUUAAAAUUUCUGUUGCACCCUGGUCUCAUGUUUCCUUUCCCCCCUUGAAGAUAAACAGCUGUCAUCAUUUGGUAAUAAACGUGCUGGACUCUGCUUUUGUG
Molecule: long non-coding RNA, 1519 nt
Organism: Amphiprion ocellaris (clown anemonefish)
Lineage: Eukaryota; Metazoa; Chordata; Actinopteri; Pomacentridae
Source: Ensembl